AGCUGAAAAAGGCAAACCCAUCGCGAGGUGGGGACGCAAAGCUUCCGGUCUUGGAAUUAAAGAUAGCGGAGUUACCAGA
This 79-nucleotide non-coding RNA is filed under the name Candidatus Nitrotoga sp. LAW. RNAcentral's name for it is "GEMM cis-regulatory element". It matches the Rfam family "c-di-GMP-I-GGC riboswitch aptamer". The record is from RNAcentral. Lineage: Bacteria; Pseudomonadati; Pseudomonadota; Betaproteobacteria; Nitrosomonadales; Gallionellaceae.